UACGUAGGGGCGAGCGUUGUCCGGAAUUAUUGGGCGUAAAGGGCGUGUAGGCGGUUAUUUAAGUCAGGUGUGAAACACCACGGCUCAACCGUGGGGUUGCACUUGAAACUGGAGGACUUGAGUGCAGGAGAGGAGAGCGGAAUUCCCGGUGUAGCGGUGAAAUGCGUAGAUAUCGGGAAGAACACCAGUGGCGAAGGCGGCUCUCUGGCCUGUAACUGACGCUGAGGCGCGAAAGCUAGGGUAGCGAACGGGAUUAGAUACCCUGGUAGUCCCUGAG
Molecule: ribosomal RNA, 277 nt
Filed under: uncultured prokaryote
Description: partial 16S ribosomal RNA
Rfam family: Bacterial small subunit ribosomal RNA
Source: RNAcentral